RNAcentral lists this ribosomal RNA (374 nucleotides) under uncultured bacterium. RNAcentral's name for it is "bacterial SSU rRNA". It matches the Rfam family "Bacterial small subunit ribosomal RNA", at positions 28 to 402 of the family's 1533-position model. The record is from RNAcentral.
GACGAACGCUGGCGGCGUGCUUAACACAUGCAAGUCGAGCGGUAAGGCCCUUUCGGGGGUACACGAGCGGCGAACGGGUGAGUAACACGUGGGUGACCUGCCCUCAGCUCUGGGAUAAGCCUGGGAAACCGGGUCUAAUACUGGAUAUGACUCCAUGACGCAUGUUGUGGGGUGGAAAGCCUUGUGCGGCUGAGGAUGGGCCCGCGGCCUAUCAGCUUGUUGGUGGGGUGAUGGCCUACCAAGGCGACGACGGGUAGCCGGCCUGAGAGGGCGACCGGCCGACACUGGGACUGAGACACGGCCCAGACUCCUACGGGAGGCAGCAGUGGGGAAUCUUGCGCAAUGGGCGAAAGCCUGACGCAGCGACGCCGCGU